This 4119-nucleotide long non-coding RNA is filed under the name Heterocephalus glaber (naked mole-rat). Its description in RNAcentral is "lncRNA (ENSHGLG00100041572.1)". Lineage: Eukaryota; Metazoa; Chordata; Mammalia; Rodentia; Bathyergidae. The record is from RNAcentral.
UACCUGGAUGUGUGGCUGGGGCAAGCUUUUCUUUUAGAAUGAGAUAAUUUCAUCCCGCCCCCAUGGCUUUGGGAAAUCUCAGAACUGGGGUCAGAAGUCUGUUUGCCAACUUCAGCAUCUGCCCAUGUACAGCUCCUGCAGCACAGCAUUUGUCUUUCUUUGCAAACCCUCUUGCAGAGCCACGUGGCUCUGUUGACAACCUAAAUGUCUUUUUGUGGUUUGCUAAGGUUAAGUGGCCCUUUCCACGGAGGAUUGUUAUUUGGCAUUAGGAAUGCAUGCUCUGAAGGUUGAGGCCAGCUGUCCUGGGACACGGCGCCUGCUAGCUUCCACACCUCUGCUGCAGCAGAGGCAGCCUGGGCCUGGGGAUGCCUGCAGACCUCCUCAGUGGCUCCCUUGUCUUCUCACCUCAGCACCUUUGAGCUUGGGACCUGUCACACCCUUUGAGCCACCGGGGCUGCCUCUGGCAGUGGGAGAUCAGAGGCUUCCAGGAGGGGUCUCCUGCUGAGGGACCCAUGUGCUGACUGAGACCCAGCCCCAGGGCCACAGGCAACGUCAGCCAACCACUCCAGGGAAGGACUCCCCAUGGGACUUUUGACAGCCAUAUUCCCCCUUCCUUCCCCAGACCCCGGUGGCCAGGGCUUGGGAGAUGCCUCCCUGUGGCUCAUGGGCCUCUGGCUUGCAGCAGCCGCCACCCGGCCACGGGCCCCUGACACUGACUUGUGUCCAGCAUCUUUGACUUAUUUUUCCCCCAUGAAAAGCAGCAUGAAUAUUUCCUUCUAGUCUUUCUGAAGAGGGGAGGAAAAACUGUUCAUGUGUGUGUGCGUGUGCAUGUGUGUUGAGUGAGAGAACACUCAGAGGUCGUGCCCAGGAUAAGGUGAGCCCCUGCUUUGUCCUGGAUCUGCCGGCACACUGAGGACAGCCUGGACCCUCUGCCCAGGCGUCUAACUCGGGAAAGGCUGCCAAGUCUUUCUAGAAAUGCUCUGUGCUGCCUGGCUCGUCUGCAGUGGCAGAUGCCUCUUCAGAGGCAGGGUGUGUGCCUGCUGCUCCUUCCGGGGCACCUGCCUCCUCCAGUGCAGGUCUGCGGCGUGUCAGAACCCUAAUGCAUCUGUGUGUGUGUCUGUGUCGGUGUCUGUGUCGCUGUACUCGUGGGCGUCUGCACGGUACGGUCGCUGCUCUGCAGUGCAUCACUCUUUCAGAGAGGGUGUAGAUGUGGCGCCAUGCUGCGUGUCAUUGUUCAACUGUGGCUUUUUCUUAGAUAAUUGUGCUUCCUCAGCGCCGUCGGGUUGUGGCAUCCUUGGAUCUGCAAGGACCUUCUCCGUUUGCAUGUUCCUUGCGGUGGCGUGUUCCUUGCUCCCUCGGUCCAACGUGUGUUCCCCUGCCUGCAUGGACUUUUCCAGUUCUGUGUCAUGUGCUGAGUGCCACCCAGUAUUCUGUGACCACCCAUGUAGCUACCGAAAAUGUCUGGGUAAGUAAGCCAGGGUUGUUGGAGGGGGCUGAGAGAGGCCAGUGUCCCUCUCCCCCCACCCCAAACACGCCAAGAAGCGACUCUAACAUGUAGGUUGAGAACAAGCCCCAGUGAUACCGUGGUUGGGAGAACGAGAGCUUGGAAUCACCUUUCCAGACUGGGUCGAGCCCCACCCUCACUCCAGCCACCUGGGAGCCAUUCUUGGCUGGGCCCAGAGCGCCUGUGCCCAGUGCGCUCCUGCUGGCACCUGCCACCAGCCCCUGCCCCUGCGGACACGGACCCCAGACCACCGCCGCCUCGUGGCAAGGUGGGAGCUGUCCGUUCAGGACCACAAGCCAUCCUCUGCCCUAGCUAGAGAGGGCGGAGCACACCCCAGAUGCUUAUGCCUUCGACCCUUCAGCCUCCCAGCCCCUUCCCCAUCCUUCCCCUGCCCCCUGACGCACCCACGGUGCCCGGGACAGAAGCUGACUUUUAGCUCUCGCCCUAGCCCUAACUGGAGUCUGUGCCAAGGUCCUCAGCUCCCUCACUGUGUUCAUACUUGGCACUUUGCUGGCCCGAGAAAGGCAGACGACAGAGCAGCAAAUCUAAUCCACAUAGUUCCCAUUGACUCCUUAAUCUGAUUGAUGUUCCCUCUUGCACUGAAUAAUACAUGCCUCUCUCAGGUAAGCCGUUUUAUAAAAUAAGAAGAUAAAAAAGCACUGUUGAGACAGUGUUGCUUUUGCCGAGCUGGUGUCCGACAGCUCCCUGGGGGUCUGGGGUGGGAGAGCUGCCACGGAGGGCCCCAGGGCCUGGGGGCUUCGAUCCCACUUGAAUCGUAAAGCCUUCUUGCUUUUGAUAACACAGUAUUAUUUCUCUUACUGUAGAAGACAAAGUUUAUUACCAAACAAGAGUAUUUUUAUGAAAGAAUAGGACAAACCUAUAAAUUAUCUCAACCUAUAUCUCCCUUGGAAACACUUUCAGGCUCCACCAAAACGUCGGACUGAAAGCUUGUAUUUUGGAAGAAAGAGAUACAUUUUGUAUGCUUUCUUUUCCUUUUGUAGAUUCCCAGUUUAUUUUGUAAGACCGCAAAGAUCUCUUUGUCACCAGCCCUGGGACCUGAGACCAAGGGGUGUCUUGUGGCAGCGAGGGCAGGGGAGAGGCUUGGCAUGAGGUCCGAAGUCCUUGCAGCAAGCUCCAGCGAGGGCCCACCUGUUCUGAAGGUGCGCUGGGGACCAGGAGGCCCGAAAGGCUGCUCUGGGUGGGCCCUUUGUCUGGGAGCAGAUCGGUGAUGGGGGAUGGGCCGAGGGUUUGGAUGUCACUUCCAACCUGGUUAGAAGCCGUGAGGAUGGAGGACUCUGUGACCUCGGCGCCACCACCGUGUGGCUGGAAGGAGUCGUGGUUUUGUCUCUUCAAACAGCACGUAAAUUUAUUCCGCCAACGACGGGAAUCUAUCGCUUCUGUGCACAGUGGGCUGAAGUACGAUUUAUUAAAAGGGGAACAAGUCAUUGAGGAGAAAAAAAAGCCCAAUACUUAGAGUCCCAAUUUUGUCUUAUUUGCCAAAAAAAAAAGCAAACCCCUCAAGUUGAUAUUGUUACAAUGUAUAUACUGUAAAAUAUGAAAGAGAAUUGAUGUAUCUUACUUUUUCAUUAUUUGCUAACCAAAGCUGUACAUUUUUCAUAUGAUCUGCAGCCUUUUGGGUAUCAAAUGGGUCAAAACCAUGGGACCUGCCACCUCCCAUCAGCAGUUCUGGAAAUGCACUAUUUCUACUGGUAUUCUUGCUUUCUUUUUUCUUUUUUCAUUUUCUUGCUGAAAUGACAUGAAUUGUUGAGUUUAUUUUUACACAGUAAAGAGUGAAGAAAGACUGCAGGCCCCUUGGACUGUCUUUGCUCUUCCGGCGCCCUCAGCCUGUCCGGCUGCACCUCGCUCACCUUCUGGACCUCACCUGCCAGGGACCUCAUGCUUUGCGCUUCCGUUGCACUGCACCCCUGGGGAACCCUACAGAGCCCUGGGAUUAGGGAGGGAUCCCCAUUUCCCACGGGCAGUUGACACAAGCCUAGAGGAGAAGUGAUUUUCCAGGUGACUGGGUGCAGAAUAACUCCUAGCUCCCACCCCUGCCCUCCUGGGGGAAUGAAGGCUAGGCCCCAGCGGCCUGGGCUUGGGGUUCCCAAACAGCCCUGGCUGUUCUCCCUUGCCACAUCCCACCAACAGGUCCCCCGCACCCCUUCCCUGCACUGAAGGUUGAGGGUGUCCCUAUGGCCAUGUGACAAAGGCCAUGAGUAUCUGUGGGAAUCCUGGGCUAGGAAGAUCCCACUUCCCUGACCCAGUUCUACUCUGUAUACCUGGAACUUAAAAGCUGCUCCCUUCCAAGGUCCAGAUUCCCUGGUUUUAGAGAUCCCAGGACACUCAAAGUGAGGUCAGGGAACACAGCCAAAAUAACCUGGCAAGUUGAGAUGUGCACGCACGUACACAUGGCUAGCAGAAGGAACUGGCCACUCCAGCUUCCUGUUGGCAGAGCCCAGGGAUUUCCUGCCCAGUGCCUGGUGUUCCCUGGCCAGAACUGAGGAGUGGGGCUUUGGUGGGGAGGUGGGGUUCGCCUACCGUGUGUGUGCAUCGUGGGAUUCUGGGCCACCCCCUCCUUCUGCCUCUGCUCAGGACAGUGCAUCAUUAUGUGUGUG